AGAGUUUGAUCAUGGCUCAGGACAAACGCUGGCGGCGUGCCUAACACAUGCAAGUCGAGCGAGAAGGGAGCUUCGGCUCCUGGAAAGCGGCGAACGGGUGAGUAACACGUGGGCAACCUGCCUCAAGGAUUGGGAUAACGUCGGGAAACCGACGCUAAUACCGAACGAUGUCGUCCGGCGCAAGCCGGCCGACCAAAGGGUAGCUUCGGCCUCCGCCUUGAGAUGGGCCCGCGUCCUAUCAGCUUGUUGGUGAGGUAACGGCUCACCAAGGCUACGACGGGUAGCUGGUCUGAGAGGAUGAUCAGCCACACUGGGACUGAGAUACGGCCCAGACUCCUACGGGAGGCAGCAGUGGGGAAUUUUGCGCAAUGGGCGAAAGCCUGACGCAGCAACGCCGCGUGAGCGAAGAAGGCCUUCGGGUUGUAAAGCUCUGUCAGGGGGAAAGAAGGCACCUGGGUUAAUAGCCCAAGGGCUGACGGUACCUCCAAAGGAAGCCACGGCUAACUACGUGCCAGCAGCCGCGAUAAUACGUAGGUGGCGAGCGUUGUCCGGAAUUAUUGGGCGUAAAGAGCGCGUAGGUGGCUUGUUAGGUCUGAUGUGAAAUCUUGGGGCUCAACCCCAAGCGUGCAUUGGAAACCGGCUUGCUAGAGUCUGGGAGAGGAGAGUGGAAUUCCUGGUGUAGCGGUGAAAUGCGUAGAUAUCAGGAGGAACACCGGUAGCGAAGGCGGCUCUCUGGAACAGUACUGACGCUGAGGCGCGAAAGCUAGGGGAGCGAACAGGAUUAGAUACCCUAGUAGUCC
Molecule: ribosomal RNA, 800 nt
Filed under: uncultured bacterium
Lineage: Bacteria
Description: bacterial SSU rRNA
Rfam family: Bacterial small subunit ribosomal RNA
Source: RNAcentral